This 460-nucleotide ribosomal RNA is filed under the name uncultured bacterium. RNAcentral's name for it is "partial 16S ribosomal RNA". It matches the Rfam family "Bacterial small subunit ribosomal RNA", at positions 338 to 795 of the family's 1533-position model. The record is from RNAcentral.
CCUACGGGAGGCAGCAGUGAGGAAUAUUGGUCAAUGAACGCAAGUCUGAACCAGCCAUGCCGCGUGCAGGAAGACGGCUCUAUGAGUUGUAAACUGCUUUUGUACGAGGGUAAACGCAGAUACGCGUAUCUGUGUGAAAGUAUCGUACGAAUAAAGAUCGGCAAAAUCCGGGCCAGCAGACGAGGUAAUACGGAGGAUUCAAGCGUUAUCCGGAUUUAUUGGGUUUAAAGGGACCGUAGGCGGUCGUGUAAGUUAGAGGUGAAAUCCCGAGGCCCAACUUCGGAAUUGCCUUUGAUACUGUUCGGCUAGAGAGUAGUUGCGGUAGGCGGAAUGUAUGGUGUAGCGGUGAAAUGCUUAGAGAUCAUACAGAACACCGAUUGCGAAGGCAGCUUACCAGGCUACUUCUGACGUUGAGGCACGAAAGCGUGGGGAGCAAACAGGAUUAGAUACCCGAGUAGUC